RNAcentral lists this long non-coding RNA (637 nucleotides) under Dromaius novaehollandiae (emu). RNAcentral describes it as "lncRNA (ENSDNVG00000010698.1)". The record is from RNAcentral. Lineage: Eukaryota; Metazoa; Chordata; Aves; Casuariiformes; Dromaiidae.
UAGGAGGAAUAUAAUAUUGAAGAAAUAAAUCUUACAGUCGUUAAUCAGACAAGAUUCAAAGAAAUAAAUCACAAAGGAAACAGCGAAACAUCGGCUUCAAGCGGAUGCAUAAAGGAAAUGAACAUGGGCUAAGGAUGUUGCUAUUUCCACCAGCUGGACAGAGAAGCUGGAGAACUGGAGACAAAAGAAAUGUGUGAGCUGAGGAAGAAAUGGGCAUGGACAUACUAGCAUUUACAAGUGACUGACUGCAGAAUGGUUGAGGACUUUAUUAGGACAUCUGCUGGGGGAUUCAUUGGCAAAUGAUUGUCAAAGAAAGGCUGCUCAGGCAAAGGCCUGGGAGUAGGAUUACAGCUUUAAAACAAAAUCUAAAGGACUUUCAUUUCUGCAGCUUGGUGAAAAUUUUGCAGGGAAACAUUUUCUGAGCAGCGAAUGUCAAUUCACAUACAGAAACACUUUGCUGGAUUUUGCCAGUUUCUGUGAAGUUUUGUUCAGAAAAAAAUAGUUCUUGUCGGGUUUCACCAAAGAAGAAACUGCAGACGGAGCUGGGCUGCCGUGAAUUGAGAAAGAUGGGCGUGAAAGGGGAAAAAAAGUACAAAAUCAGAUAACUCGAGGAGGAAAAAAAGAAAAAUUUAUCUCU